This 239-nucleotide ribosomal RNA is filed under the name Clostridioides sp. ZZV14-6044. RNAcentral describes it as "partial 16S ribosomal RNA". It matches the Rfam family "Bacterial small subunit ribosomal RNA", at positions 338 to 574 of the family's 1533-position model. Lineage: Bacteria; Bacillati; Bacillota; Clostridia; Peptostreptococcales; Peptostreptococcaceae. The record is from RNAcentral.
CCUACGGGAGGCAGCAGUGAGGAAUAUUGGUCAAUGGACGUAAGUCUGAACCAGCCAAGUAGCGUGAAGGAUGACUGCCCUAUGGGUUGUAAACUUCUUUUAUAUGGGAAUAAAGUAUUCCACGUGUGGAAUUUUGUAUGUACCAUAUGAAUAAGGAUCGGCUAACUCCGUGCCAGCAGCCGCGGUAAUACGGAGGAUCCGAGCGUUAUCCGGAUUUAUUGGGUUUAAAGGGAGCGUAG